UGUUAAAAAUAUAAUCUAAUUUUACUGUUAAAAUUAGUGUGAUUAAUAAAAUAAUCAGACAGUGAUAUAUAGCGCACUACGUGUACCUUAUACUGAUGUAUAAUAUCCAAAUUUUAAUAAUAAAAAUAGAUGAAAUGUUUAACA
RNAcentral lists this microRNA precursor (144 nucleotides) under Gossypium hirsutum (cotton). Its description in RNAcentral is "MIR7502 microRNA precursor family". It matches the Rfam family "MIR7502 microRNA precursor family". Lineage: Eukaryota; Viridiplantae; Streptophyta; Magnoliopsida; Malvales; Malvaceae. The record is from Rfam by way of RNAcentral.